AGUGAACGCUGGCGGUAGGCCUAACACAUGCAAGUCGAACGGCAGCACAGUAAGAGCUUGCUCUUACGGGUGGCGAGUGGCGGACGGGUGAGGAAUACAUCGGAAUCUACUUUUUCGUGGGGGAUAACGUGGGGAAACUUACGCUAAUACCGCAUACGACCCACGGGUGAAAGCAGGGGAUCUUCGGACCUUGCGCGAUUGAAUGAGCCGAUGUCGGAUUAGCUAGUUGGCGGGGUAAAGGCCCACCAAGGCGACGAUCCGUAGCUGGUCUGAGAGGAUGAUCAGCCACACUGGAACUGAGACACGGUCCAGACUCCUACGGGAGGCAGCAGUGGGGAAUAUUGGACAAUGGGCGCAAGCCUGAUCCAGCCAUACCGCGUGGGUGAAGAAGGCCUUCGGGUUGUAAAGCCCUUUUGUUGGGAAAGAAAAGCAGCAGGUUAAUACCCCGCUGUUCUGACGGUACCCAAAGAAUAAGCACCGGCUAACUUCGUG
RNAcentral lists this ribosomal RNA (492 nucleotides) under uncultured bacterium. RNAcentral's name for it is "partial 16S ribosomal RNA". It matches the Rfam family "Bacterial small subunit ribosomal RNA", at positions 29 to 507 of the family's 1533-position model. The record is from RNAcentral.